Small nucleolar RNA from Ornithorhynchus anatinus (platypus), 137 nucleotides. The record is from RefSeq and is a predicted model, not a curated record. Lineage: Eukaryota; Metazoa; Chordata; Mammalia; Monotremata; Ornithorhynchidae.
CCCCUCUCAGGGUCUCACCUGCAGAAUUUCCAGUACUCUACCAGUCUCGACUACAGGAGGGAGAGUCAAGCAGAGGCAUCCCAUUCCGUUCCUAGCCUGGGUGGUGACUAGCGAGUGGAAGGCAAUCUGCUACAAGU